This 443-nucleotide ribosomal RNA is filed under the name uncultured bacterium. RNAcentral describes it as "partial 16S ribosomal RNA". It matches the Rfam family "Bacterial small subunit ribosomal RNA", at positions 338 to 795 of the family's 1533-position model. The record is from RNAcentral.
CCUACGGGUGGCAGCAGUGGGGAAUAUUGGACAAUGGGGGGAACCCUGAUCCAGCGACGCCGCGUGAGUGAAGAAGUAUCUCGGUAUGUUAAGCUCUAUCAGCAGGGAAGAAAGAAAUGACGGUACCUGACUAAGAAGCCCCGGCUAACUACGAGCCAGCAGCCGGGGUAAUACGUAGGGGGCAAGUGUUAUCCGGAUUUACUGGGUGUAAAGGGAGCGUAGACGGUUACGCAAGUCUGGAGUGAAAGGCGGGGGCCCAACCCCCGGACUGCUUUGGAAACUGUAUAACUGGAGUGCAGGAGAGGUAAGUGGAAUGCCUGGUGUAGCGGUGAAAUGCAUAGAUAUUAGGAGGAACACCAGUGGCGAAGGCGGCUUACUGGACUGUAACUGACGUUGAGGCUCGAAAGCGUGGGGAGCAAACAGGAUUAGAUACCCUAGUAGUC